GAUGAAGAACGUAGCGAAAUGCGAUACUUGGUGUGAAUUGCAGAAUCCCGUGAACCAUCGAGUCUUUGAACGCAAGUUGCGCCCGAAGCCAUUAGGCCGAGGGCACGCCUGCCUGGGCGUCACACGUCGUUGCCCCCCCAGCUACUCCUUCGGGAUUGCGGGGGGCGGAUGAUGGCCUCCCGUGCGCCUCGCCGCGCGGUUGGCAUAAAUGCCAAGUCCUCGGCGACGCACGCCACGACAAUCGGUGGUUGCGAAACCUCGGUUGCCCGUCGUGUGCGGUCGUCGCGCAUCGAGGGCUCGAAAAAAUUGCCGGGUUCCGGCUCGGCUUUCAACGCGACCCCAGGUCAGGCGGGGUUACCCGCUGAAUUUAAGCAUAUCAAUAAGCGGAGGA
Molecule: unclassified non-coding RNA, 391 nt
Filed under: soil metagenome
Description: partial contains 5.8S ribosomal RNA, internal transcribed spacer 2, and large subunit ribosomal RNA
Rfam family: 5.8S ribosomal RNA (bases 1-122)
Source: RNAcentral